AUUGAACGCUGGCGGCAGGCUUAACACAUGCAAGUCGAGCGGGGGAAGGUAGCUUGCUCCCGGACCUAGCGGCGGACGGGUGAGUAAUGCGUAGGGAUCUGCCUACUAGUGGGGGACAACACGCCCAAAGGGAUGCUAAUACCGCAUACGUCCUACGGGAGAAAGCAGGGGAUCUUCGGACCUUGCGCUAAUAGAUAAGCCAAAGUGGGAUUAGCUAGUUGGUGGGGUAAAGGCCUAACAAGGCGACGAUCUGUAACGGGUCUGAGAGGAUGAUCCGCCACACUGGGACUGGGACAAGGCCCAGACUCCUACGGGAGGCAGCAGUGGGGAAUAUUGGACAAUGGGGGGAACCCUGAUCCAGCCAUGCCGCGUGUGUGAAGAAGGCCUUAUGGUUGUAAAGCACUUUAAGCGAGGAGGAGGCUCUUUUAGUUAAUACCCAAGAUGAGUGGACGUUACUCGCAGAAUAAGCACCGGCUAACUCUGUGCCAGCCGCCGCAGUAA
RNAcentral lists this ribosomal RNA (501 nucleotides) under uncultured bacterium. Its description in RNAcentral is "partial 16S ribosomal RNA". It matches the Rfam family "Bacterial small subunit ribosomal RNA", at positions 30 to 523 of the family's 1533-position model. The record is from RNAcentral.